GAAGAGUCAGCCGACGGGAGUUGGAACAGAAGGGGCCAGCGGGGGGUGCGCAAGAAGAGGUGUAUGUACGCGUCUUGAGGGUGUUGCGGGUGGGUAGGGGAGGGAGGAAGGGUCGAGACCUAGGUCUACCUUAGCUCCGGUGUUGGCUCGCAGAGGAGUACCGGAGAAGUGCUCGAGGGUGACGGCGGACCUCGAGUUCGACGGUCGGCAGGUUCCGGAGCGGUCCUUGCCUAGGCGCUGUGGCACGGAGCAGGAGCGUGUACGGGCCGGCGCGGUAGCCUCGGGGGGCGUCUCCGUCACGAGGCGGUGGGCUACGACAAGAAGCGCAGCGGGGUGCGAGGGUUUCGACCCUUGGCCGAGGGGCGGAGGUUCAAGAGCCGUAUCUGCAGGGCACGACGGACGUGGGAGCGGUUCGGGCUGAGCGUCGGCACCUCGGGCUCGAGCGGUUCCGCGAAGUUGAGGCGGCGGCGCGGUAGAAGAAGUCCGCGAGUUCGUGCUCGUGUUCGAGCGGGCGCGGGGUGGAGAGAGACGGCGAGGCAGGCGGCGGGCACCACGGCACUGGGCGGUGACGGCACGGGACGUAGCGAGACAUCAGCGCGGCGGACCCAGCUACGCCAGUCGCGAGGGUUCGGCAACUGGGACGCGGUCCCCUGCUGAUAAAGGAGGGUACGCACGCGCGGGCACGAGGUCGGGAGGGGAGGGGUACGACGGCCGUGUGAGCGCGGUGCCCCGGCAUAGGUCGGACACGGACCUGCUGCCUUCGGAGGGGUGACAGGCACGCGAGGCCGGUCGAGGGACAGCGCGAGCUCUGGAGGAGAUCAGAAGGGCGGCUCCGGAAGGGACACUGGUCGGAAACUGAACCCAGAGGACAGGCGGAGCCGCGCCUGCGGGCGGUGCUGCGGCCGCCGUUCGCCGCUGCGCACGGGCCGCUACCUCUUGCCGUCCUAUUCGCCGCUCUGCGCACCACGACUCGGUCAGUUAUUCCUUAUUCCCGGCGCCCGUAUCAAAGAUUGUUUAAAUCCCCCCAAAUGCGUUUUUGCUUUGCAAAAAGGUUUCACGGUGAAUUUGUCCCUGACGCCCAAUUAAAGUUUCUUUGUCUCCCCGAAAAAGCGUUUUUGUGGCUGCUGCAUGCUGGUCUUCGUGAGGCACGAAAUAAUCAUGAUCGUUUUCCCGGGCACGCAACGUUGCCCUCUUUUUUUAAGUAUUAAAGUUUACCAGUACUAGUGUAAAGCAACGUAGUGGCUCUAUGUUAUAGAGAGAGUUAAAGAGCUUUAGUAUUUGUAAAACUUUAAUACUUGUUAAACAAUUUGAGUACGUGUAUAAACUUUAGCGUUUGUUGUAUGAUAAUGUUUAAAGACUUGUAAAAGAUGUUAGUUCUUGUAAAAAAGUUAAAUACUUAUAAAAAACGAUAAAUGUUUGUAAAAAAUUUUUAACACUUGUAAAAAUUCGUUAAAAGGACUUGACCGUUUGUAAGAUAUUAGCUACUUUUAUAAAUCUUUAACCCACCUUAUCAAUAACUUAAACUGCUUGAAAAAAACUAAAUCGCUUGUAAAAACCUUUACGGGCACGGAACGUUGCCU
This 1580-nucleotide ribosomal RNA is filed under the name Triticum aestivum (bread wheat). RNAcentral describes it as "partial small subunit ribosomal RNA". Lineage: Eukaryota; Viridiplantae; Streptophyta; Magnoliopsida; Poales; Poaceae. The record is from RNAcentral.